RNAcentral lists this ribosomal RNA (661 nucleotides) under Fastosarion insularis. RNAcentral describes it as "partial 16S large subunit ribosomal RNA". The stretch from base 231 to 480 matches the Rfam family "Archaeal large subunit ribosomal RNA", at positions 1786 to 2143 of the family's 2987-position model. The record is from RNAcentral. Lineage: Eukaryota; Metazoa; Mollusca; Gastropoda; Stylommatophora; Helicarionidae.
CUAUCAAUUCUAAAGGUAUCUGGAAUAAUUUUAAAUGUAUUUAGUACAGAAUAAAUUUUAAAUAAAGAAAUGUUAAGAUUUCAUUAAUUAUAGAAUAUUAAAUAUAAUUUAAAUAUGAAUUAAUCUUCCAACAUAUAAAUUUAAUAAUAAUAAUUUAUUUAAUAUAUCUUUAUAUUAAAAUUAUUUUUUCUACAACUAACUAGAAAAUUAAUAAUGUUAAAAUUAGUAAUUUUUAAUAUUUUGUGUUAAGGAACUCGGCAAUUUAUUAUUCAACUGUUUAUCAAAAACAUAGUCUUAUGUAUUAUAUAUAAGGUGAAACCUGCCCAUUGAUUUUCAUAAUUUAACGGCCGCAGUACCUUGACUGUGCUAAGGUAGCAUAAUAAAUUGACUCUUAAUUGGGGCCUUGAAUGAAUGGAUUAAUGAAUAAUUUCUGUCUUAAUAAAAUUAAAGUUAAAUUACUUAAAAGGUGAAAAUUCCUUUAAUUUAUAUAAUAGACGAGAAGACCCUAGGAGUUUUAUUUUUGUUGGGGCGACAGUAUAACAUUAUAACUUAUACAUUAUAAAUAAUUAUUAAACGAAUUAUUUUAAUAAUAAAGAAACUACCCUAGGGAUAACAGCAUAAUUUUUAAAAAGUUUGUGACCUCGAUGUUGGACUAGGUAAC